GCGCCCGUAGCUCAGUGGAUUAGAGCAUUCGGCUACGAACCGAAGGGUCGGGGGUUCGACUCCCUCCGGGCGUA
This 74-nucleotide transfer RNA is filed under the name Anaerolineales bacterium. RNAcentral's name for it is "tRNA-Arg". It matches the Rfam family "tRNA". From Rfam's summary of the family: Transfer RNA (tRNA) molecules are approximately 80 nucleotides in length. Their secondary structure includes four short double-helical elements and three loops (D, anti-codon, and T loops). Further hydrogen bonds mediate the characteristic L-shaped molecular structure. tRNAs have two regions of fundamental functional importance: the anti-codon, which is responsible for specific mRNA codon recognition, and the 3' end, to which the tRNAs corresponding amino acid is attached (by aminoacyl-tRNA synthetases). tRNAs cope with the degeneracy of the genetic code in two manners: having more than one tRNA (with a specific anti-codon) for a particular amino acid; and 'wobble' base-pairing, i.e. permitting non-standard base-pairing at the 3rd anti-codon position. The record is from RNAcentral. Lineage: Bacteria; Bacillati; Chloroflexota; Anaerolineae; Anaerolineales.